UACGAAGGAUGCAAGCGUUAUCCGGAUUUAUUGGGUUUAAAGGGUGCGCAGGUUGUUUGAUAAGUCGGUGGUGAAAGUCUGUCGCUUAACGGUAGGAUUGCCAUUGAUACUGUUGGACUUGAAUAUGGAUGAGGUAGGCGGAAUGUGUAGUGUAGCGGUGAAAUGCAUAGAUAUUACACAGAACACCGAUUGCGAAGGCAGCUUACUAAUCCAUCAUUGACGCUGAGGCACGAAAGCGUGGGGAUCAAACAGGAUUA
RNAcentral lists this ribosomal RNA (257 nucleotides) under uncultured prokaryote. Its description in RNAcentral is "partial 16S ribosomal RNA". It matches the Rfam family "Bacterial small subunit ribosomal RNA", at positions 524 to 780 of the family's 1533-position model. The record is from RNAcentral.